This 72-nucleotide transfer RNA is filed under the name Perca flavescens (yellow perch). It matches the Rfam family "tRNA". Rfam says of the family: Transfer RNA (tRNA) molecules are approximately 80 nucleotides in length. Their secondary structure includes four short double-helical elements and three loops (D, anti-codon, and T loops). The record is from Rfam by way of RNAcentral. Lineage: Eukaryota; Metazoa; Chordata; Actinopteri; Perciformes; Percidae.
GGUUCCAUGGUGUAACGAUUAGCACUCUGGACUCUGAAUCCAGCAAUCCAAGUUCAAAUCUAGGCGGAAACU